This 460-nucleotide ribosomal RNA is filed under the name uncultured bacterium. RNAcentral describes it as "partial 16S ribosomal RNA". It matches the Rfam family "Bacterial small subunit ribosomal RNA", at positions 338 to 795 of the family's 1533-position model. The record is from RNAcentral.
CCUACGGGAGGCUGCAGUGAGGAAUAUUGGUCAAUGGACGAGAGUCUGAACCAGCCAAGUAGCGUGAAGGAUGACUGCCCUAUGGGUUGUAAACUUCUUUUAUAUGGGAAUAAAAUGUUCCACGUGUGGGAUUUUGUAUGUACCCUAUGAAUAAGGAUCGGCUAACUCCGUGCCAGCAGCCGCGGUAAUACGGAGGAUACGAGCGUUCUCCGGAUUUAUUGGGUUUACAGGGAGCGUUGGUGGCGUGUUAAGUCAGUUGUGAAAGUUUGCGGCUCAACCGUAAAAUUGCAGUUGAAACUGGCAGUCUUGAGAAGAGGAGAGGUAGGCGGAAUGCGUGGUGUAGCGGUGAAAUGCUUAGAUAUCACGAAGAACUCCGAUUGCGAAGGCAGCGCACUGGACUGCAACUGACACUGAGGCUCGAAAGUGUGGGUAUCAAACAGGAUUAGAUACCCCUGUAGUC